AAUUAUUGGCAAUUUCUUUCAUCUAGAUUUGAAGAACAUCACCCAAUCCUUAACCAGUUUCUCAAAAGUGAAUGGCUCUGUGUUCACUCUGUACUUUGGCAUGAAGCCCAUUGUGAUAUUGCAUGGAUAUGAAGCAAUAAAAUAAGGCUUGAUUGAUCACAGAGAGGAGUUUACUGAAAGAGGAAGCUUCCCAGUAGCUGAAAAAAUUAAUAAAGGCCUUGGUAAGUGUACAUGUUUAUGAGUGAUCUGGGUAGCAUUCACAAAGAGGAAGAAGAUAGACAGCAAAGGCCAGACUUGAUCCUGGGGCUCAGACUAUGCCUCUCUAGGGUUGUGUCUUCGCCAAUGCUCUCCUUCUUCCUGGGAUCACAUUGUACUUUCUAUUCCCAUUUGUUCAGGAAUUGCUUUUAGCCAUGGAAAUAGAUGGAAAGAAAUAAGACGCUUUACACUCAUGACCUUGCAGAAUUUGGGCAUGGGGAAAAAAGCAUUGAGGACUGUGUUCAAGAGGAAUCAUGGUGCCUUGUGGAGGAACUGAGGAAAACCAAAUGGUGAUCAUACUUUCCUGUUCUGACUUUUCCAUCCUGAUACAGGCUCACCCUGUGACCCUACCUUCAUCUUGGGCUGUGCCCCUUGCAAUGUCAUCUGCUCCAUUAUUUUCCAGAAUUCUUUUGAUUAUAAAGAUCAAGAUUUUCUUAGCUUGAUGGAAAAGCUCAAUGAGAACAUCAAGAUUGUGAGCAGUCCCUGGAUAUAGGUGAAGAAAAUUCAUCUCCUCCUGAAAGCAAAGUUAUGAUUAUUCUUUUUCACAGAUCAAAUUGAAAGACCCCCAGACUUGGGGAGACUCUCGCUCCAGUCACGGGUUGGGGUACCCCCAGGAAACACGAGAAGCCGGUCUUGAUGUAAUCAGCAAGAGGCAGUUUUAUUUAUGAGAUCUCGGGCUGACACGUAUCUCACACAGGAGAUUGAGUCAAGCCCCAAGCCUCUCUAGGCAGGAGCUUAUAUAGGGAAAACCAGGGGUUUCAUGUUUAUACACAUAAUUGGCUAAUACAAAGGGUGCACAGUUAUUUUUUUUGCGCGGAAUUGUGUUAACAAAGCAUUCUAGUAUCUUAGCAAUAUGGGCAAGGUGGCUUAUCUCGCUCAGCAAAGAGAUGACUCAUAUUAGGGAGUGAAUGAAGGGAAGGGGAAGAGAAGGGAGGUAGCUCCAGGGGUAGCUCAAGAUGGCCAGUGUCCUUGGAGCCCUAUCUCAGAUUCUUUUAGGCAUAGCCAGACAUUGUUCAUGACUAACUUUUAGAAAUUUUAACCCUUCAAAAUUACACGUGGACUAACAAUGAUGUAAUGGUACCCAUGCCCUGCCUAGAGUAGUAUGAAUGGGACCUCUGGAAGAGAGGUCUAUGUCCUUCGCUAAACCAACAGAUGAACAAAACACAAAUGCCAAGAUAGCUCAAGCUGCUUAUCUUCCUAUGUGAUGUUAUUUUUAUUUGACACACAGAGAGGUUUUUCUACAAAUUAAUGCAUUGAUUUUUAGAAAGAUAUUCAGUCACUCAUAGAAGAACAUUCUUGAACUACUCACAAGUUCUUGUACUAUCAAUAAUUAAAACCUACCCAUUUAUGUAUUUGGCAAAAAUACCUUAGUGUAGACAGAAAAUAUUCUUCUAAAGAUAUUUUGGAUAAUGAUACAGGAAGCACUGAAACCACUGAAAUGUUUGCUGCUUUAUUUUGGAUCCUCCAUGACAAGGGAACAGGAAGAAAUGAUAAUAUGAAUGGUGGAUCACGAAUAUGUUCACAAUCUUUCCCUGUGAUGAAUUAGAUCUCCUGCUCUCUGCCUAUAUAGUAGUUAUGGACCACAAAGAAGUAAAUAAUGGUGUGCAAUUUUUGUCAAGGAAUCUUUAGAGGCCCACACAAUUCCAAAUUCUCACUUCAUGUCAGAGAUUGACUGAUUGAAAAGCUUUCUGCAGUAAAUUAUUUACCCUAUUUUCUUAGCAUGUACUAGCAUCCAAAGUGUAUGAAUUACAUUACUUCAUAUCAUAUGAAAUUUAAGAUUUAUAGGCAAAAUUGAAUUAUUACUGAAUGUGAAAAAAUUCCCUGUGAACCAGAAUUAUAUGGGCAGAAUUUUCUUCCUCAAUUUUUAUACUACAUAGAAUUUAUAUAUAAUUUUAUUAUGUAUAAAAUGGAGCAACUCUUCUUCAAGG
This is a long non-coding RNA of Rattus norvegicus (Norway rat), 2183 nucleotides long. The record is from Ensembl. Lineage: Eukaryota; Metazoa; Chordata; Mammalia; Rodentia; Muridae.